Molecule: long non-coding RNA, 435 nt
Filed under: Mytilus galloprovincialis (Mediterranean mussel)
Lineage: Eukaryota; Metazoa; Mollusca; Bivalvia; Mytilida; Mytilidae
Source: RNAcentral
AUUUAAACAUAAAUUUCAGAAUACAUUGUCGAACAAAAGUUGGUUGUCCUAAUUAUGGCCGUUGUAAAUACUAAAAAAUACACUCAAACUGAAUAUAUGUGAAUUGUAUAAGAUUAAAUGAUAAUAAUAUACCUAAUCCUUUGUACACGACCUAAAAACACUUUCAUUUAUGAAUAAAGAUAAAAAAAUGUCGCAUUUUUAUAUAGUAACACCACUGACCCUUCAGUAACUCCAAUGACACAAAAGUAUCACCAUUGACAUCACAUUUCAAAUUUUACCUUUAUCAAGUACUGAACACAAAGCCAAGAUCACCGGGCAAAAGAAAAAGAUGAAAAAAUAAUUCUUAGGCUAAAAAAUCUCAAAUUAUAUAACAUAACAUCCAUAACUAAAAAUGUCAAUAGUGUUAUUAAAUAGUGUCAUUGGUGUUACCAGCAU